This 366-nucleotide ribosomal RNA is filed under the name Triticum aestivum (bread wheat). RNAcentral's name for it is "partial small subunit ribosomal RNA". Lineage: Eukaryota; Viridiplantae; Streptophyta; Magnoliopsida; Poales; Poaceae. The record is from RNAcentral.
AUGAGCAGCAGCGAAGGGAGGACAAGGAGACGACGGCGGCGGCGGCGGCGGGGAGCGGCAGCAGCAGGCCAAGGCGGCGCUGCCCUUCUCCGCCAUGUGCAUGCGGAUCUCCCGCGACUCCUACCCCAACCUCCACGCCCUCCACAAUGCCUCCAACGACAGCCUCACCGACACCGCCUAUGUCAGGAUCUCCGAGGGCGACUUCAGAUACGUCCUCGACGACGUGCCCCACCUCGCCGACUACCUCCCCGUGAGCAGCCACCCCUGGAUGCGAAGAGCUUGCCUCCGGCGGCAGAGGGAACCUGCACACAGAGGGCGACCCCAUGGAUUCAUCCCUACAGAAGAGAAGAUGUGGAGGGAGGAUAG